Molecule: long non-coding RNA, 958 nt
Filed under: Coturnix japonica (Japanese quail)
Lineage: Eukaryota; Metazoa; Chordata; Aves; Galliformes; Phasianidae
Description: lncRNA (ENSCJPG00005018320.1)
Source: RNAcentral
CUACUAUGAAAAAUGUUCUCUCCCCAUAAAGGGGGGAGGGGGGGCUGCUCAUAUUAUCUUCGAUCAUCUCAAACUUAACUCCUUAACUCACUUUUGUGUAAGUCAUAUUUAUCAGACUUUAAAAUGAUGUUAUGUUUCUUUUUUAGAGUUCUUUCCAAAACUCUGAGAGCAGAGGACCACUGGCUUCCGUCUCUUUGACAAAUACAAAUAAGACCACCUGGGGCCUCUCCAAUUAUUCUCUUUGGAGAAUUUUCAUACCGAAGAUCCUCCUUAAGACAGUUAAUUCUCUGUGUGGAAGCUUAAAUAAUAGCUCUGCCUAUUUAUAGCUACGUUAAAUUUUCCAUUUACUUCCAUCUCAGUCUUGUGUGUAAGUCCCUGCCAUGCCUGCCAUUUCUGAGCAAUGAGCACACUGAGAAUUCUUGUGAGUGGGCACAGGGGGGAGGAAAGCCAGCACCUCUCCCACUACCUCCCAGGUGUUUUUUAUGGGCACAGAAGGAGUUAAUGAUGCCACAAAGAAUGAAGAACAGGUUAAAAAAAAAUCUUCUGUUGAACAGCAAUGUUUAUUCUGAGACUCUGAUCCCAAACGGAUAUUUAGCAAACUUUUAUGCAAAGUGCUUUGUAUUAUAAUGACUACUGAGACACAAUUCAUGAGCUGCCAUAUCUGCCAGCUGCAUGUAGGUGUCUCUCAUACCCCAAGACUUCUUAAAUGACAUUAUAUGCCCGAAUGUGGCCAAGGGUGGUAAACCGUGGAUUUCUUUAUUACUGAAUUUAAAUUAUGUACGGGCCAUAUAAUAUUGCCUUGUUUUUGUUUCUUUCAUCCAGCAAGUCUGAACUGCUUGCCACAUCCCUGUGGAGCCACUAUCACUGUCAUCUGGUACAUGAACAAUUUACAGCAUAUAUCUGCAAAGCGUUAAUUAUCAGUGCCUCUAAUUCAUGGCAGCUCAGCAGCUGUUCCUGA